GAGGGGAUAGCUCAAAUAGUCAAGCACAUGCUUAGCAUGCAUGAGGUCCUGGGUUCAAUCUCCAGUACCUCUU
This is a non-coding RNA of Camelus ferus (Wild Bactrian camel), 73 nucleotides long. NCBI's taxonomy places the organism in Eukaryota, Metazoa, Chordata, Mammalia, Artiodactyla, Camelidae. The record is from Rfam.